AUAACAUAAGAUUUCUUUGAGUAGUUUUCUCCUAUAUUUGAUAGAGAGAAGUGUGUUCUCAUUUUGUCAAGAGAGAGUGUUAUUGUAGUCUCCUUGUGAUAGAGAGAAGUUGUAAUUCUCAAAGAAAAUUAUUCAAUUAUUUCCAUAUUUUAUACAAAUUUCUAAUUUUUCAUCUCUAUAUUUUGCUGUGUCAUUUGUCUGGUACCUAACAACCACAUACCCAUUUUGUCUCAUAAACAGAUUGAUAUGCUUUUGGAGUGGCACACCUUUGUUAGCUUUCAUACUCUGAACUUCCCUUUGAUUGCAGAAAAUGUCUGGCCUAUUGUUUGCAGUUCUUGGCAAUGGCAUAUGGCUAACUCUUUAUUGCUCUGGCUCUUUGGGGCAUUCUUCGAUUGUGCUUCUUUUAUGUAGUAUAUAUCAGCAUUCUUCCAUUUCUUUGUUUAUAAUUUACAAUUGCAAGUUAUAUCAUUUUCUAGAUAUCUUCCCAGUUUUCAGCUUCUAUAUUAGUUAUUUGCUGAUGAAUUACAGAUUAGGAUGCUUUUUACUCCCUGAUAACUGAAACACUAACGGAUAUUAUUAAUCAUACAUUCAUAUGUACUUUACAUUGUGUAUAUAUUUCGUUGUAUUCACUGGCUGAAAGUUUAAUAAGCAAUGCUUGACUCCUGAGGGAGUCUGAAUAUACUUGUGAGAAAAAUAUAUUUUAUUUCUUGUUCUCUGUGCUUAGCUUUUAACAUACAUUUGUUUACGCACUAAAAGAUGCAAGGGAUGCUACAAAUUGUCAUUCGAUUCAGGUGUUCUUAAUUUUAUAGCUCAUAUGUUCUUUAGGGCGAAAAAAAAUGGAAACCUCAAUAUUUCUAUGUUACAAUAUCACUGAUUUCCCACAACUUUUUCUUGAUAAAAAAAAUAUGCUAGCUAACUUGUCUGGCAAACCAUGAAAGUUAGUGGAAACUCACCCUGCUUGUUCUGCUUAGUUUAAAGUAUAAGAAUUUUAAUUAGUUUCUUUGUCAUACCAUAGGUCUGUAUUGUGUGUAAUGGUCCCAUUAGAUAUGGGAGAGAGUGUUUCCCAUUAGAUGCAUGGAAAAGAGGGAGGAAGAAUAUUUCAGCAACAUAUAUCUGCUAUGCUAGUGCAUUCCGCAUUUGUCUCGCAAAGAAAGAAACAGAUUGCAUGGGGUGAUGCUAUCAUAUAGAAAAAGGAGAUUGGAGCAGCAAGUUCAACUUGGAAAAAGAGAGACUGAGCUAACAAUCAUAUUUUACACAAUUUAUGAGGAUUCAUGUGCAUUUUCUCAUUGCUGAUUUUGGUUUUUUGUGAAUCUUGCUUGUUAGUGUGUGCUAGUGAGAACUUAUGCUUGUGAAAAUUGUUCUUGGCAUGCAUCUGUGUGAGAGUUUGUGAGGAAUUUUUUGUAAUAGAAAAAGGCUGUGCGUGUUGAGUGAAAAUACUAAGACCAAAAGAAAAGUCAUUGUUAAUGUCCCUGCUUUUUGAUUCUUGGAAUUGUCAUUGCUUGAUGAAUUUGUAACUUGGAUAUUGAUAAUAGUUGAAAAAUCUCACCACAAAUUGUGAUUGGGACCAGAUGUAGGAUUCAUUUUGGAGCUGAACCAGAAUAAAUGACUUGGGCAAUCUUC
Molecule: long non-coding RNA, 1620 nt
Organism: Arachis duranensis
Lineage: Eukaryota; Viridiplantae; Streptophyta; Magnoliopsida; Fabales; Fabaceae
Exons: 2
Source: RefSeq, a predicted model, not a curated record